Molecule: ribosomal RNA, 253 nt
Filed under: uncultured bacterium
Lineage: Bacteria
Description: partial 16S ribosomal RNA
Rfam family: Bacterial small subunit ribosomal RNA
Source: RNAcentral
UACGGAGGAUCCGAGCGUUAUCCGGAUUUAUUGGGUUUAAAGGGUGCGUAGGCGGUUUGAUAAGUUAGAGGUGAAAUGUCGGGGCUCAACCCCGAAACUGCCUCUAAUACUGUUGGACUAGAGAAUAGUUGCGGUAGGCGGAAUGUAUGGUGUAGCGGUGAAAUGCUUAGAGAUCAUACAGAACACCGAUUGCGAAGGCAGCUUACCAAACUAUAUCUGACGUUGAGGCACGAAAGCGUGGGUAGCAAACAGG